GCGUUAUUCGGAAUUACUGGGCGUAAAGCGCACGUAGGUGGCGACGUAAGUCGGGUGUGAAAGCCCCGGGCUCAACCUGGGAAUUGCAUUCGAGACUGCAUUGCUGGAGUACGGAAGAGGAAGGCGGAAUUCCCGGUGUAGCGGUGAAAUGCGUAGAUAUCGGGAGGAACAUCAGUGGCGAAGGCGGCCUUCUGGUCCAGUACUGACACUCAAGUGCGAAAGCGUGGGGAGCAAACAGG
RNAcentral lists this ribosomal RNA (239 nucleotides) under uncultured bacterium. RNAcentral describes it as "partial 16S ribosomal RNA". It matches the Rfam family "Bacterial small subunit ribosomal RNA", at positions 538 to 776 of the family's 1533-position model. The record is from RNAcentral.